This 326-nucleotide ribosomal RNA is filed under the name uncultured eukaryote. Its description in RNAcentral is "partial 18S ribosomal RNA". It matches the Rfam family "Eukaryotic small subunit ribosomal RNA", at positions 1470 to 1796 of the family's 1831-position model. The record is from RNAcentral.
CCCUUGGAUGUUCUGGGCCGCACGCGCGCUACACUGAUGCAUUCAACGAGCCUAGCCUUGACCGAGAGGUCCGGGUAAUCUUUGAAACUGCAUCGUGAUGGGGCUAGAUUAUUGCAAUUAUUAAUCUUCAACGAGGAAUGCCUAGUAAGCGUGAUUCAUCAAAUCGCGUUGAUUACGUCCCUGCCCUUUGUACACACCGCCCGUCGCUCCUACCGAUUGAGUGUGUUGGUGAGGAGUUUGGAUUGGCCUCGGAAGGUGGUUCGCCACCGUCCGUAGCUGAGAAGUUCUCCAAACCGCCCCACUUAGAGGAAGGAGAAGUCGUAACA